CUGCAGGUAGCUCAACGGAUAGAGCAUAGGUCUUCUAAACCUACGAUAGGGGUUCGAUUCCCCUCCUGCGGUCCA
Molecule: transfer RNA, 75 nt
Filed under: Caudoviricetes sp.
Lineage: Duplodnaviria; Heunggongvirae; Uroviricota; Caudoviricetes
Description: tRNA-Arg
Rfam family: tRNA
About the family: Transfer RNA (tRNA) molecules are approximately 80 nucleotides in length. Their secondary structure includes four short double-helical elements and three loops (D, anti-codon, and T loops).
Source: RNAcentral